CAUUUAGUAAGUUCAUUGUUGACGCUCAUUUGCAUGAAGGGAGCAGUGUGGGCCUUCCUAUGCAAAUUCACGAGUGGGCAGUCACUUUUUUUCCCACGGAAAAGUUCUGUUGUGAGCCGGACAUCCACAACUGGGGGCUUCUCUUCAUGGGAAACAUACAAAAACAGUCAAAGAGAAGGAUGUUUCUUAAUCUACAAUCAAAUGUUCAUCUGGAGGGGGGAGCAGCACACUGGGAUGUUCUGUUCCUGGAACAAAGCCACAGCGUUGAUCUCAGGUACUCCUGAGUGAGGAGCUGGUACAAGGGUGGAAAGUGUUCACUCAGUGAUCCAACCAGGAUGCCAGGCUCCAGUUCCUCUGGGACAGAAAACUGGAUGGAGCUGCAUACAAUCUGCUUGAGAUGGACCAUGAGAAGCAAAUUCUGAUUAAGAAAAAAAAAGAUAGUUAUAAAUAAAUAAAAUUCAGUUUCUCUUGAACGUCAGAAGUUUCGGGGGUGUUUUCUUACAUUCUGAUAGUGUUCAAACUUCAUGGCUCAGUGAAGGUUUUGAAAAGCAAACAACAGAAGAAUGACGGUAAUACGAUACCCUUACACUUAUCUUCAACUAAUUAUUCCCAUGUUCAAAUAUCAAAUGAUAAAAAAACACAUAUCAACAAUUGUUACAACACUUUUCAAACACGUCGAUGUUUUCUUAAAAUUGUUGCUUAAUAAUGCAUCAUUUUCUCCACCAUCCAUUAAAAAAAUCUUAUCUUAU
Long non-coding RNA from Oryzias latipes (Japanese medaka), 749 nucleotides. RefSeq lists it as uncharacterized. The record is from RefSeq and is a predicted model, not a curated record. NCBI's taxonomy places the organism in Eukaryota, Metazoa, Chordata, Actinopteri, Beloniformes, Adrianichthyidae.